Molecule: ribosomal RNA, 492 nt
Filed under: uncultured bacterium
Lineage: Bacteria
Description: partial 16S ribosomal RNA
Rfam family: Bacterial small subunit ribosomal RNA
Source: RNAcentral
AGUGAACGCUGGCGGUAGGCCUAACACAUGCAAGUCGAACGGCAGCACAGUAAGAGCUUGCUCUUACGGGUGGCGAGUGGCGGACGGGUGAGGAAUACAUCGGAAUCUACUUUUUCGUGGGGGAUAACGUAGGGAAACUUACGCUAAUACCGCAUACGACCUACGGGUGAAAGCAUGGGAUCUUCGGACCUUGCGCGAUUGAAUGAGCCGAUGUCGGAUUAGCUAGUUGGCGGGGUAAAGGCCCACCAAGGCGACGAUCCGUAGCUGGUCUGAGAGGAUGAUCAGCCACACUGGAAAUGAGACACGGUCCAGACUCCUACGGGAGGCAGCAGUGGGGAAUAUUGGACAAUGGGCGCAAGCCUGAUCCAGCCAUACCGCGUGGGUGAAGAAGGCCUUCGGAUUGUAAAGCACUUUUGUUGGGAAAGAAAAGCAGUAAGUUAAUACCCCGCUGUUCUGACGGUACCAAAAGAAUAAGCACCGGCUAACUUCGUG